This 397-nucleotide ribosomal RNA is filed under the name uncultured bacterium. RNAcentral describes it as "bacterial SSU rRNA". It matches the Rfam family "Bacterial small subunit ribosomal RNA", at positions 28 to 417 of the family's 1533-position model. The record is from RNAcentral.
GAUGAACGCUAGCGGCAGGCUUAACACAUGCAAGUCGAGGGCAGCAUGAGACGGAGAUUCGUCGAAGUCUUGAUGGCGACCGGCGCAAGGGUGCGUAACGCGUGAGCAACUUGCCCGUUUCAGGGGGAUAACCGGUGGAAACGCCGACUAAUACCCCAUAGCAUUGGUUGAGGCAUCUCUUACCAAUUAAAGAAUUUCGGAAACGGAUAGGCUCGCGUGACAUUAGCUAGAUGGCGGGUAACGCCACAUGGCUACGAUGUCUAGGGGUUCUGAGAGGAAGGUCCCCCACACUGGAACUGAGACACGGUCCAGACUCCUACGGGAGCAGCAGUGAGGAAUAUUGGGUCCAAAUGGUCUGACGACUGAACCAGCCAUGCCGCGUGAAGGUCACGGCCCU